CCUACGGGAGGCAGCAGUGAGGAAUAUUGGACAAUGGAGGCAACUCUGAUCCAGCCAUGCCGCGUGCAGGAAGACGGCCCUAUGGGUUGUAAACUGCUUUUAUACAGGAAGAAUGGUACCUACGUGUAGGUAUUUGACGGUACUGUACGAAUAAGGAUCGGCUAACUCCGUGCCAGCAGCCGCGGUAAUACGGAGGAUCCAAGCGUUAUCCGGAAUCAUUGGGUUUAAAGGGUCCGUAGGCGGUCUGAUAAGUCAGAGGUGAAAUCCUGCAGCUCAACUGUAGCAUUGCCUUUGAUACUGUUAGACUUGAGUUAUUGUGAAGUAGUUAGAAUGUGUGGUGUAGCGGUGAAAUGCAUAGAUAUCACACAGAAUACCGAUUGCGAAGGCAGAUUACUAACAAUACACUGACGCUGAGGGACGAAAGCGUGGGUAGCGAACAGGAUUAGAUACCCUGGUAGUCCACGCCGUAAACGAUGGAUACUAGCUGUUCGACCAACAUGGGUUGGUUGAGUGGCUAAGCGAAAGUGAUAAGUAUCCCACCUGGGGAGUACGCUCGCAAGAGUGAAACUCAAAGGAAUUGACGG
RNAcentral lists this ribosomal RNA (584 nucleotides) under uncultured Bacteroidota bacterium. Its description in RNAcentral is "bacterial SSU rRNA". It matches the Rfam family "Bacterial small subunit ribosomal RNA", at positions 338 to 916 of the family's 1533-position model. The record is from RNAcentral. Lineage: Bacteria; Pseudomonadati; Bacteroidota.